Non-coding RNA from Pelobates cultripes (western spadefoot toad), 572 nucleotides. NCBI's taxonomy places the organism in Eukaryota, Metazoa, Chordata, Amphibia, Anura, Pelobatidae. The record is from the annotation of a GenBank genome assembly.
AAAAAUACGUGGGCUACUUUUGGAGCCAAAAGUGAGACGGGUGAAGAAAUAAUAUAACCCUUGCCAUUUAAUGCCGUGAAUGUGCCAAAGGGAAGGGUACAUGGGAAGUAACUUGAAGGCAUUCACUACCUCCGUUUUACUUAACCAUGCUCCUGUGUCUGCUUUAAUGAUGGCACCUAUGGCAUGGUCGAUAGUGGCGCAAUGUUCUUCGGAAGGUAUGAAUGAGUUUAGGCUGGGGACCGUGGAGGAAUGUGGUGCAGAUAAAUCAAUGAUCAGUUAAGGUUUGAGUGAGUUUUUCCCCGUGACAACCCCAAUGAGGUUGGUUCUCCAAAAUGUGAAGGGUGGUGAAAAGAAUGGGCCCAACAAAAACCGUUGGUUCACCUCGGUCAUGAUAAGUUUAUGUACCAACUAUGGGUCAUCUAAUUCAGAUUGUAAGUUGUCACAUUCCAGCGUGCCUGUAGGUAAAUGUAUCAACCCGGUGUGAAAUCCCUCAGUCAGUCCCGUAAUAAGGUAGUUACUGAAAUGGCGUGAUGGGUGUAGUUGUAACAAAGCGAAUAAUGUGAGGUUCAUGC